CAGGCCUAACACAUGCAAGUCGAGCGGUAACAGGGAUAGCUUGCUAUCUGCUGACGAGCGGCGGACGGGUGCGUAACGCGUAGGAAUUUGCCCGAUAGUGGGGGAUAGCCCGGAGAAAUUCGGAUUAAUACCGCAUACCUUCUAAGGAAGAAAGCAGGGGAUCUUCGGACCUUGCGCUAUCGGAUGAGCCUGCGUCGGAUUAGCUAGUUGGUAGGGUAAAUGCCUACCAAGGCGACGAUCCGUAGCUGGUCUGAGAGGAUGAUCAGCCACACUGGGGCUGAGACACGGCCCAGACUCCUACGGGAGGCAGCAGUGGGGAAUAUUGCACAAUGGGCGCAAGCCUGAUGCAGCCAUGCCGCGUGUGUGAAGAAGGCCCUAGGGUUGUAAAGCACUUUCAGCGAGGAGGAAGGGUAUCUUGCUAAUAUCAAGGUACAUUGACGUUACUCGCAGAAGAAGCACCGGCUAACUCCGUGCCAGCAGCCGCGGUAAUACGGAGGGUGCAAGCGUUAAUCGGAAUUACUGGGCGUAAAGCGUGCGUAGGCGGUUAAAUAAGUUGGAUGUGAAAGCCCUGGGCUCAACCUAGGAACUGCACCCAAAACUGUUUAACUAGAGUACGAGAGAGGAGUGUGGAAUUUCCUGUGUAGCGGUGGAAUGCGUAGAUAUAGGAAGGAACACCAGUGGCGAAGGCGGCACUCUGGCUCGAUACUGACGCUGAGGUACGAAAGCAUGGGUAGCAAACAGGAUUAGAUA
RNAcentral lists this ribosomal RNA (750 nucleotides) under uncultured bacterium. RNAcentral describes it as "bacterial SSU rRNA". It matches the Rfam family "Bacterial small subunit ribosomal RNA", at positions 43 to 784 of the family's 1533-position model. The record is from RNAcentral.